UCGGGAAUUUUGCCCAAUGGACGAAAGUCUGAGGCAGCAACUCCGCGUGAGGGACGAAGGCCUUCGGGUCGUAAACCUCUUUUCUCAGGGAAGAUACAAGACGGUACCUGAGGAAUAAGCCACGGCUAACUACGUGCCAGCAGCCGCGGUAAUACGUAGGUGGCGAGCGUUGUCCGGAUUUACUGGGCGUAAAGAGCGCGCAGGCGGCUGGUCAAGUCCGAUGUGAAAGCUCCCGGCUUAACUGGGAAAUUGCAUCGGAAACUGAUCGGCUGGAAGGUGGGAGAGGGUAGCGGAAUUCCCGGUGUAGUGGUGAAAUGCGUAGAUAUCGGGAGGAACACCAGUGGCGAAAGCGGCUACCUGGCCCAUUCUUGACGCUGAGGCGCGAAAGCUAGGGGAGCAAACGGG
Molecule: ribosomal RNA, 405 nt
Filed under: uncultured bacterium
Lineage: Bacteria
Also listed under: 1 other name
Description: bacterial SSU rRNA
Rfam family: Bacterial small subunit ribosomal RNA
Source: RNAcentral